AGUGAACGCUGGCGGUAGGCCUAACACAUGCAAGUCGAACGGCAGCACAGUAAGAGCUUGCUUUUACGGGUGGCGAGUGGCGGACGGGUGAGUAAUACACCGUUAUCUACUUUUUCGUGGGGGAUAUCGCAGGGAAACUUACGCUAAUACCGCAUACGACCUAUGGGUGAACGCAGGCGAUCUUCGGUCCUUGUGCGAUUGAUGCUGCCGAUGUCGGAUUAGUUAGUUGGCGGGGUUAAGGCCUACCAUGGCGACGAUCCGUAGCUGGUCUGCGUGGACGAUCAGCCACACUGGAACUGAGACACGGUCCAGACUCCUACAGGGGGCAGCAGUGGGGAAUAUUGGACGAUGGGCGCAAGCCUGAUCCAGCCAUACCGCGUAGGUGAAGAAGGCCUUCGGGUUGUAAAGCCCUUUUGUUGGGAAAGAAAAGCAGCAGGUUAAUACCCCGCUGUUCUGACGGUACCCAAAGAAUAAGCACCGGCUAACUUCGUG
RNAcentral lists this ribosomal RNA (492 nucleotides) under uncultured bacterium. RNAcentral describes it as "partial 16S ribosomal RNA". It matches the Rfam family "Bacterial small subunit ribosomal RNA", at positions 29 to 507 of the family's 1533-position model. The record is from RNAcentral.